Molecule: ribosomal RNA, 450 nt
Filed under: uncultured bacterium
Lineage: Bacteria
Description: bacterial SSU rRNA
Rfam family: Bacterial small subunit ribosomal RNA
Source: RNAcentral
CCCAGACUCCUACGGGAGGCAGCAGUGGGGAAUAUUGCACAAUGGGGGAAACCCUGAUGCAGCGACGCCGCGUGAGCGAAGAAGUAUUUCGGUAUGUAAAGCUCUAUCAGCAGGGAAGAAAAAAAUGACGGUACCUGAGUGAGAAGCACCGGCUAAAUACGUGCCAGCAGCCGCGGUAAUACGUAUGGUGCAAGCGUUAUCCGGAUUUACUGGGUGUAAAGGGAGCGUAGGCGACGCGUUAAGUCUGAUGUGAAAACCCGAGGCUCAACCACGGGAGUGCAUUGGAAACUGGCGGGCUGGAGUGCCGGAGAGGUAAGCGGAAUUCCUAGUGUAGCGGUGAAAUGCGUAGAUAUUAGGAGGAACACCAGUGGCGAAGGCGGCUUACUGGACGGCAACUGACGCUGAGGCUCGAAAGCGUGGGGAGCAAACAGGAUUAGAUACCCUCGUACA